Molecule: ribosomal RNA, 254 nt
Filed under: uncultured bacterium
Lineage: Bacteria
Description: partial 16S ribosomal RNA
Rfam family: Bacterial small subunit ribosomal RNA
Source: RNAcentral
GACGGAGGGGGCAAGCGUUGUUCGGAAUUAUUGGGCGUAAAGGGCUCGUAGGCGGAUCGGUGUGUCUGACGUGAAAUCUCCACUGCUUAACAGGGAGGGGCCGUUGGAAACUGCUGAUCUUGAGUAUGGUAGAGGACCAUGGAAUUCCGGGUGUAGCGGUGGAAUGCGUAGAUAUCGGGAGGAACACCUGUGGCGAAAGCGGCGCACUGGACCACAACUGACGCUGAGGCGCGAAAGCUAGGGGAGCAAACAGG